This is a long non-coding RNA of Betta splendens (Siamese fighting fish), 1745 nucleotides long. RefSeq lists it as uncharacterized. The record is from RefSeq and is a predicted model, not a curated record. The transcript is spliced from 4 exons. NCBI's taxonomy places the organism in Eukaryota, Metazoa, Chordata, Actinopteri, Anabantiformes, Osphronemidae.
CACAGACAAAAGAAGAAGAAGUCACUCACUGCGCAGUCUACCAUGGGAGGUGGCGCUAAUGCACCUUUCAGUUGGUUGCCACCCGACAUUUAAAAGACAAAAGAAGAAGAAGUCACUCAGGUUGAAGAAGCGCCCACUUCCUGCUUCCCCAAACGCUGACGCAUGCCAGCUACCGAAACGCGAGGAGGUUGCUUCUCGAACUGACACGUGGCUACCUUGUAGAAGAGUGCUCACCUCAGGAGCAAAUAGUGGUGUCAAGGAAAACAGCUGCAUCCUCCAUCUGUACAGCAGCUGCACUGCUUCCGAUGUCUUCCAACACGUGAAGACAAAAAAGAUCCUCACAUCUCCCCAGCCAACUGCCCAUGACUGUACCUGUUCCACUCCAGAAACUAUGCUUUCAACAUAACUGUGAAUCCUACCCGUUCAUUUUGUGGUCUGCAAAUUGAACUGUGACGGAAACACUGCCCUGAUCCAGACCAGGAAAGGUGGGAUGACUUAAACUCUUCGCCCUAGAAGUCCCCAGCACCAGCUAACAAGACUUCUGGACUAGAUACCUGCAACAACUUGAGAUACACACAGAAAUUGUACUGAAAAAAAACAAUAACUACAUUUCUAUUAGUUAUAUAUUAGCACUUGAUAUAUCAUACACCUUACUAAAAGCAAUUAAAAAUAUAUUAGGUCAAUAUAUAUUUAGAAACUAUGUUUGUAAACCAGAGUUCCCAGGUACAUUAUGAUUAAUCUGUAAAUAGUAAAAUGUUCUAAAGUUUUUUAUGAAUUUCUGAGAUACUGAUUUAUUCCAUGCGUAAUUGUCUGAUAUACUUUAUAUUAAAUGUGUUCUGUAAUUAAUACACAUUCAAUCAUACUGGCUCCAGUCCUGGAUCAUCAACCAUACGUGACAGUAGGUUUGGCAACUAGUUCAGGCGUCCUGAGGUAAGAUUUAUCGAAAUUUUAAUUUAUUAAUAAAAGUAAUAAACACAUGCAAUAUCUUGAAAGCAAUAGUUUUUUUCACACUAUGCCUCUGUAGGCAUUCACUGUUCCUACAUUGGCACUUAAUUACAGACAAAUACGGCAAAAUAUAAGCUGCAGCUGAAGAUCCCAUACACCCCCCUACACAGCAGCAGAACGAGAAAUAAAAAAACAUGUAAAAAUGAGUUUAUAUUAGUUUAUCAAGCUAUGCUCCCAAACAAGCUGUAGUCGUGUUAUGAAUAUUCUGUUGUAUUAAAUCAGGCUGCUAAUUUGCAACCAUUAGUAUUAACGUUAGCAGCUAAUCAAGUUGCGUAUUCUAUGAAUCAAAGUAAAUUAAAUGUGAAUAAGCCAGUUAGACGUACCUUGCGCCAGUCAAAGUGUAACCACUUCAACAGCCUUCCAUUCGCCUUCAGAGUCAGAUUUUGGAUCAAACGUAUGGUUGAACUCCACUACGAGGACGAGUCAGCCAGUGUCACUGUUACAAUGGAUUCAGUGAUCAUGAGGUUUGAUUCCCACGGCUAUGCGCUUCCUCAAAGGGGUGUGGCGAUCAGUUUAGCUUCCGACACACUCCGAAAAUAGAGUGUUGUGGACGAGAGCUUAAAACACACAUUUUCAGAUGUGUGGGCGAUCUACAGAGCUUUUUGGCAUGAAAAGUUACAGACACCUUACUGAGACAUCAAGGUCCAAUUCUUUAGCAAUGUGGAGCAUGAAAAAAGCGUGUGCAUGGAUCUUUAAGCUUUUUUAAACUACCUGGUCUUUCAUAUAGUUGAGGGGGUGUU